Molecule: ribosomal RNA, 351 nt
Filed under: uncultured bacterium
Lineage: Bacteria
Description: partial 16S ribosomal RNA
Rfam family: Bacterial small subunit ribosomal RNA
Source: RNAcentral
CCUACGGGAGGCAGCAGUGGGGAAUAGUGCGCAAUGGGCGAAAGCCUGACGCAGCGACGCCGCGUGAGGGAUGAAGGUCUUCGGAUCGUAAACCUCUGUCAGCAGGGAAGAACGGUCACGGGGCUAAGCAGCAGUGAAUGGACGGUACCUGCAAAGGAAGCACCGGCUAACUCCGUGCCAGCAGCCGCGGUAAUACGGAGGGGGCGAGCGUUCAUCGGAAUUACUGGGCGUAAAGCGCUCGUAGGCGGUAUGUCCAGUCAAGGGUGAAAUCCCCGCGCUCCACGUGGGAACUGCCUUUGAAACUGGCAACCUGGCGUGUGUGAGAGGCUAGUGUACUUCCAGGUGUAGGCG